AGCUUUUCUCAAGGUUCACUGACCAAGGAAAAGGUGACUGCACAUAACUUCACCUGAAGCUGUGAGGAAUGAGACCUAAGCUUGGGUUUUCUCCUGUGCCAUCCCUGUGCAGUGAUCUAACAUACAUACUGGGAAUCCUUUAGAAUUACUUUCUGCAACAUUUGUAAAGUAGACUGUUAUAUUGGUCCCUCUCCAGUCUGGUGGGUUGAGUCAGAGGUCUGCACGUUGCCAAGGGUGUGGGGGACCUGAGGCAACAUGUGCAGGCCUGUUUAUCCACCAAGCCUGACAGGGUGGGGGCUCGCAUAUGGGCCUCAGGCCUGGCCUAGGGGGGCUGCUGGGGACAUCUCUGUUCUCUCACUUCUGUGAAUUUCUUUGCUUCCCUGUGUAAAUUGUAAAAGGUCAUCAGGGAAUACUGUGCAGUUUCUGCUAAAGGAGAAAGAGGGUUCAAAAGCAGCUCCGUUCUGUCGCACCUUGAGCUGGGAAGUACACAAUGCUUUGAGCACUCUGUCAGAGGAGCGUGGUGCACUCGGUGUGUGUUAAAGCUGCUGUGGGAAUAGUGCUUGUUGAGAAUAUCUAUGAGAUGCAUAUUUGGAGGAUGGCUCUAUCUGUGAGCCUGACUUUAUUUUUACAGCAAUAAGACUUAAAUAAGAUACUUGCUGAAGCUUUAAAAUGUUCUUGCAACAUAAACAUAAUGUAAAAUCUAAUUUCACUCUAAGGCUAGAGUUGAAAAGGAGUGAAAAUGUUUCCAUGUUUCAGAAGAACAAGUUUUGUGUUACACAAAGCAGGUGUUUAUAGAACGCUUCAUUUUAAUUCAGUGUAGCUAAUAUCCCAGUUCACGUUGUUUGGAGUAGUAACAGUGUAACACAGAGCCCUAGCAAAGAUUUACAGGUUUCCUUUAGGUCAGUAACAGCUGCUAUAAACACGUUGGGCUAUUUUAUUAUUAUUAUUAUUAUUAUUUUAAUAUUAUUCCACUCCAUCUACAUCUAGUAAGUGGAAGGGAGGGAAGGGGGAGAAGGUUAACAGUUUUUACAGUUUAGGCUUUUCUUUUUGUCACAGUUAAACUAAAUAUACGCAGGUGGCUAGGUGGCACUGUGGAUUAAUGUACUUCUGAAUUAAUGUGCUUGGAGUGGCUUGUAUCACCAAGUGAGCAAAUCUGAAGUACGAGCUCUCUUCCCCUCCUGAUUCACUGUUUAUGCAGUUCUAUUUGAGUUGUAUUAUUGUUUGUAUUAAAAUCAUAAGUCCAAAAGAAUGAGCAUUGUGCAAGAAGUAAAUCAAUGAACCUGUAUUUU
Molecule: long non-coding RNA, 1289 nt
Filed under: Gallus gallus (chicken)
Lineage: Eukaryota; Metazoa; Chordata; Aves; Galliformes; Phasianidae
Description: lncRNA (ENSGALG00010024435.1)
Source: RNAcentral